GGAGAGAUGGCUGAGUGGUUGAAAGCACCAGUCUUGAAAACUGGCAUGGGCCUCGUGUCCAUCGUGAGUUCGAAUCUCACUCUCUCCGCCA
This 91-nucleotide transfer RNA is filed under the name Candidatus Omnitrophota bacterium. Its description in RNAcentral is "Candidatus Omnitrophica bacterium tRNA-Ser". It matches the Rfam family "tRNA". Rfam says of the family: Transfer RNA (tRNA) molecules are approximately 80 nucleotides in length. Their secondary structure includes four short double-helical elements and three loops (D, anti-codon, and T loops). The record is from RNAcentral. Lineage: Bacteria; Pseudomonadati; Candidatus Omnitrophota.